Molecule: long non-coding RNA, 1482 nt
Organism: Helianthus annuus (common sunflower)
Lineage: Eukaryota; Viridiplantae; Streptophyta; Magnoliopsida; Asterales; Asteraceae
Exons: 4
Source: RefSeq, a predicted model, not a curated record
AUUUAUCAGUAAUUUCUAAUUUUUUUUUGCGCAGAUGUUCACUAUAUCCACAGCUGCAACAAACCCACCAAUUUUUAUUCAAUAAAACAAGAUGAUAAUUCUCCAUGAGCUAAUAUAAUGCAGCAGAUGUUCAUCAAUGGAUAUAACCCUUAACCUGUUCGACGAAAUGUCCCAAUGAACACGUUGGCACAAAUGAGCUCAUCACAAGACGAAAUGUCCCAAUGAACACGUUGGCACAAAUGAGCUCAUCACAAGCCUUAUUUUCGACUUAGUAACUUAGCUUGAGUUUCUACAUUAAUAUGCAGCUUGAACUUACUCAAGCAGUCUAGCGUUACAGAAUCAUCUUUAACAGAUGAAGAUGGCGCUUCGAGCAUUCACUGCGCCUCUGCCGUUCAAGAACUAUGAUCUCUUUGGCAAUGGUUCUUUGAGUAUUAGUUGGUGUCCCGCACGCAUUGCGGGGCGAUGGCCGAAUACUUCUUAAUCAAUUAAAGAAACACUAUUAUAUUUUUGCUAGAAAAAAACUAAAACGAUGAUAAGACCGUAAUUUUGAGCUCAUGGCAAAACUGUAAUUUUUCAGGACUAAUGAGCGAGUGUUAGGCAGCUCCUUUAGACGAAAAAAAAAAAAAUAAAUCGAGUCAACCAAUUAAAAAAAAACUUUUAUAGUUUUGCUAGAAAAAUUAAAACGAUGGGGAAAACGUAACUUUGAACUGAGGGGGAAAUCAUAAUUUUGUUACAGGGAUAAAAUCGUAUAUUCCAUGGACCAAUGGGGUUGAGGGCAAAAUCAUAACUUGGCUGUGUGAGAAGAAAAAUGCAAUAUCUUCAAUCAGAUCUGUACGAGUGACAGGAAGAAGUCAGCUACUGCAUCUCUAUUGAUGCUAUUUGAAGUUGAAGAACAAUCAUCUUGCUUGAUGUAAGUCAUGGUAAAUUCGAAGGUCGAAGAGAAUUUGUUUGCUCUUGGUGAACGAAAGGAAGGCUUCUCCGACCAUCUCUGGCGACCAUACAAGGACGCCGGUGACAAACUGGAGUACACCAUACUGUUGUGUAAUGUGUCGCUACACGCUAAUCAUUUCUUCACUUUGCCAGCGAUUCUUGCCUUCAGCAGCAGCGACACCGGUGUUUGUUACACUCUCAAUCAGGAUGAGUCAGAGAUUGGCGUUUGAAUUGCCAUCACGAUUGAUUGUAACUGAAUCGUUUGGAUGUGUUAUUGUUGAAGAAAAGGACUUCAUUGCUGAAAAUAUCAUAUUUGAGAACGCCGAGUUUAGGAGGUUAUGAGCAACUUUUAACAUGUAUGCCCCAUUUCACCAACUCCAUUUUAGCUAUAAAUUUUGAUAUUAUACAAUUGGUUUUGUGUCUGCUGUUCUGUAUCUGCUUGGAUUUUAAUUAUUUUCCCUUUCAUAAUCCAACAUGCACCCUCUUAUCAUUGUUAUCCUUACUUUGUAAAUAACUAGAGUUUGUAAGAUACUUAUAUAUCUGACUAUUCGA